UACGGAGGGGGCGAGCGUUAAUCGGAAUUACUGGGCGUAAAGGGUUCGUAGGUGGUUAAAUAAGUUAGAUGUAAAAACCCUGGGCUUAACCUAGGACUGAGAUUUAAUACUGUUUAACUAGAGUAUAGGAGAGGGUCGUGGAAUUUCCGGUGUAGCGGUGAAAUGCGUAGAGAUCGGAAGGAACACCAGCGGCGAAGGCGGCUCCCUGGCCUAAUACUGACACUGAGGCACGAAAGCGUGGGGAGCAAACAGG
This 253-nucleotide ribosomal RNA is filed under the name uncultured bacterium. RNAcentral describes it as "partial 16S ribosomal RNA". It matches the Rfam family "Bacterial small subunit ribosomal RNA", at positions 524 to 776 of the family's 1533-position model. The record is from RNAcentral.